UAGGGAAUCUUCGGCAAUGGACGAAAGUCUGACCGAGCAACGCCGCGUGAGUGAAGAAGGUUUUCGGAUCGUAAAACUCUGUUGUUAGAGAAGAACAAGGACGUUAGUAACUGAACGUCCCCUGACGGUAUCUAACCAGAAAGCCACGGCUAACUACGUGCCAGCAGCCGCGGUAAUACGUAGGUGGCAAGCGUUGUCCGGAUUUAUUGGGCGUAAAGCGAGCGCAGGCGGUUUCUUAAGUCUGAUGUGAAAGCCCCCGGCUCAACCGGGGAGGGUCAUUGGAAACUGGGAGAGUUGAGUGCAGAAGAGGAGAGUGGAAUUCCAUGUGUAGCGGUGAGAUGCGUAGAUAUAUGGAGGAACACCAGUGGCGAAGGCGGCUCUCUGGUCUGUAACUGACGCUGAGGCUCGAAAGCGUGGGGAGCAAACAGG
This 429-nucleotide ribosomal RNA is filed under the name Gemmatimonadota bacterium. RNAcentral describes it as "Gemmatimonadetes bacterium partial 16S ribosomal RNA". It matches the Rfam family "Bacterial small subunit ribosomal RNA", at positions 355 to 776 of the family's 1533-position model. The record is from RNAcentral. Lineage: Bacteria; Pseudomonadati; Gemmatimonadota.